Molecule: ribosomal RNA, 419 nt
Filed under: uncultured bacterium
Lineage: Bacteria
Description: bacterial SSU rRNA
Rfam family: Bacterial small subunit ribosomal RNA
Source: RNAcentral
UGGGGAAUAUUGCACAAUGGGGGAAACCCUGAUGCAGCGACGCCGCGUGGAGGAAGAAGGUCUUCGGAUUGUAAACUCCUGUUGUUGGGGAAAAUAAGGAUGGUACCCAACAAGGAAGUGACGGCUAACUACGUGCCAGCAGCCGCGGUAAAACGUAGGUCACAAGCGUUGUCCGGAAUUACUGGGUGUAAAGGGAGCGCAGGCGGGUUUUCAAGUUGGGAGUGAAAUACAUGGGCUCAACCCAUGAACUGCUCUCAAAACUGGAGAUCUUGAGUAGUGCAGAGGUAGGCGGAAUUCCCGGUGUAGCGGUGGAAUGCGUAGAGAUCGGGGAGGAACACCAGUGGCGAAGGCGGCCUACUGGGCACCGAACUGACGCUGAGGCUCGAAAGUGUGGGUAGCAAACAGGAUUAGAUACCCGU